AACGAACGCUGGCGGCAUGCCUAACACAUGCAAGUCGAACGAGACCUUCGGGUCUAGUGGCGCACGGGUGCGUAACGCGUGGGAACCUGCCCUUAGGUUCGGAAUAACUCCCCGAAAGGGGUGCUAAUACCGGAUAAUGUCUUCGGACCAAAGAUUUAUCGCCUUUGGAUGGGCCCGCGUUGGAUUAGCUAGUUGGUAGGGUAAAAGCCUACCAAGGCGACGAUCCAUAGCUGGUCUGAGAGGAUGAUCAGCCACACUGGGACUGAGACACGGCCGAGACUCCUACGGGAGGCAGCAGUGGGGAAUAUUGGACAAUGGGCGAAAGCCUGAUCCAGCAAUGCCGCGUGAGUGAUGAAGGCCGUAGGGUUGUAAAGCUCUUUUACCCGGGAUGAUAAUGACAGUACCGGGAGAAUAAGCUCCGGCUAACUCCGUG
RNAcentral lists this ribosomal RNA (433 nucleotides) under uncultured bacterium. RNAcentral describes it as "partial 16S ribosomal RNA". It matches the Rfam family "Bacterial small subunit ribosomal RNA", at positions 29 to 507 of the family's 1533-position model. The record is from RNAcentral.